This 416-nucleotide long non-coding RNA is filed under the name Eucalyptus grandis. RNAcentral describes it as "long non-coding RNA (EGRA_LNC001243)". Lineage: Eukaryota; Viridiplantae; Streptophyta; Magnoliopsida; Myrtales; Myrtaceae. The record is from RNAcentral.
CUGGUUCCUCGGUGAAAAUCAAAUGAAGCUUUGCUUGUUGCACUCCAAUAUAGCCAGGAACAUUAAUUCUUUGAGAUUCAUCUCUCCUAUAAACUCGGAGGAAUUUCCAAGGUCCAAGCUGAAGAAGCGUUCCAAAAUUUAAUAAUGUCUAAGUCCUUCCACAGAAAGCUGCAAUAUGUAGUCAAUCCCAAACAAACUAUAGAUAGAGCCUCUAUAAACUGCAUGAAUCCUGCUAACAAUUCAAGAAAUGGAAUGUCGUGAUAAGGUAAUUUUCAUAACGAUAAGGCAAGCAACAGCAAAUAUACAUCAACAAAUCUAAAUUAAAAAUUCAUCAGAAGAUGUUCUACUUUAGGCACCUGUUCCCUGUGUUAGUGAAACAAACAGGACACAUCAGGUAUCCAAGCAAAAUAACCUCU